RNAcentral lists this ribosomal RNA (776 nucleotides) under uncultured Neocallimastigales. RNAcentral's name for it is "partial large subunit ribosomal RNA". It matches the Rfam family "Eukaryotic large subunit ribosomal RNA", at positions 24 to 611 of the family's 3401-position model. The record is from RNAcentral. Lineage: Eukaryota; Fungi; Neocallimastigomycota; Neocallimastigomycetes; Neocallimastigales.
UACGACUACAUAUCAGGCAUAUCAAUAAGCGGAGGAAAAGAAACUAACAAGGAUUCCCCUAGUAACGGCGAGUGAAGCGGGAAGAGCUCAAAUUUGAAAUCUUAAAGGGUUUCCCUUUACGAAUUGUAGUUUAAAGAAGUGUUUUCUGUUGGAGUUUCGGUAAAAGUUCUUUGGAAUAGGACAUCAUAGAGGGUGAGAAUCCCGUAUUUGACCGUUACUUUCCAGCUGUGUGAUACACUUUCAAAGAGUCGGAUUGUUUGGGAAUGCAGUCCAAAAUGGGUGGUAAAUUUCAUCUAAAGCUAAAUAUUGGCGAGAGACCGAUAGGCGAACAAGUACCGUGAGGGAAAGAUGAAAAGAACUUUGAAAAGAGAGUUAAACAGUACGUGAAAUUGUCAAAAGGGAAGCGUUUGACACCAGUGUUGUUUAGUUGAAAAUCAAUUCAAUAAUUUUUGAUUCUAAGUAGUAUUGACUUCAUCAGCUUGCUGCUUUCUUCUCAGAAAUUAUUGAAUGCACUUUUCAGUUAACAAGUCAACAUCAAUUUCUUUUGUUGUAAAAGGGUAAGAGGAAGGUGGCUUGCGCUUCGGCUCAAGUGUUUAUAGCCUUUUAUCUCUGCAAUCGGAGAGAUUGAGGUCUGCAGCGUAGAUCCUUCGGGGUUAGAUACAUUGGUGCUAAGCUAUAGCCUUGUAUAGACAACUUGUUGACUAUGCUCAGUCAUGUAGCUUACUCGCUGAUGCUAUUUUACCUACGCUUAGGAUGUUGAACGCGCACAGAGUCUC